Long non-coding RNA from Planococcus citri (citrus mealybug), 335 nucleotides. RefSeq lists it as uncharacterized. Lineage: Eukaryota; Metazoa; Arthropoda; Insecta; Hemiptera; Pseudococcidae. The transcript has 2 exons. The record is from RefSeq and is a predicted model, not a curated record.
GAUCCUCCAUCGGCGUUACUCAUCACAGCGAAUUUACCCGUCGAACUACCGCUGAAGUAAAUAUGCUCUAGAAAACAUCACCAUAAUAUUAAUAAUGAUCACGUGCUGCCAGCUUCCAAAGGCCAUAAUACGAUUCGACGACCGAUGAACGAACCUUCUUUGAAUUCCCAUAGUACUUCGCCUUUUCUACGAUCGACGCCGAUGAACGUGCCGUCCAAUGUUGAUAUAAAUAACACCGAUUCUUCUUCGUUGAUUAGCUCAGUACCACAAUCAAUGCAUACCUGUAAUACAAUGAAAAAUACAUGACUAAGUUAUAAUUAGACUUGAAAAAAUCA